AUAGUCGUAGAAUGGGAUUCUAGCUAUUACAUCGCCAUGUCGUAAAAAAGCAUGGUUAGGUACUAAGAUUUAAUAUAAUCGAUGAUACUGCUAAUGAUUUCAUCCUUUCUGGUAUUUCCGAAUAUCAGUGGGACGCUCGUGCUUAUGCCAGCCUUGCUUUGCUGGUCCGAGUGAAAAAAGGUUAUCCAGUCCCUCAGAGAUAUAUUAUAUUAUCUUAAAAAGUAAUGUAAAUUUAAAUCAUAUUGG
RNAcentral lists this unclassified non-coding RNA (246 nucleotides) under Pseudachorutes dubius. RNAcentral describes it as "sequence contains ITS2". The record is from RNAcentral. Lineage: Eukaryota; Metazoa; Arthropoda; Collembola; Poduromorpha; Neanuridae.